RNAcentral lists this long non-coding RNA (704 nucleotides) under Capra hircus (goat). RNAcentral describes it as "lncRNA (ENSCHIG00000005119.1)". Lineage: Eukaryota; Metazoa; Chordata; Mammalia; Artiodactyla; Bovidae. The record is from RNAcentral.
AUGAGAGGUUUAUAGAAGCUUCUGGAUGGAAGAGAAUGACUGACAGGGAAACUGGGUCAACUAGGUCUUGUUCUGAUGGGUGGGGCCAUGCUCAGUAAAACUUUAAUCCAAUUUUCUGUUGAUGGGUGGGGCUGUGUUUCCUCCCUGUUAUUUACCUGGGGCCAAACUACGGUGAGGCAACAAAGAUAAUGGUGACCUCCUUCAAAAUGUCCCAUGCACACACUGCUACAGUCAGUGCUCCCAACCCUGAAGCAGGCUGCCGCCAACCAACGACUCUGCCAGACAGUCCUGGACACUCACAGGCAAGUCAAGAUGAGGAAAUGAGGGAUCAAUAAGAUUGUCCAAGGUCACAUAUAUCACUACCGGUUGGAAAGAAGUGCGGCUAGGCAUUGAAAGAUGGAGAAAGUGAAAAAGACGAAGAAAGGAAUGCAAGACAUUUCAAGGAAUGUUGCCUGCUCUUUGUGACUUAAAACAACUGAAGCCACAUCCUCCUUCGUCAGCAGCUUUGCUGUUUUUCUUAAGAAAUGUCAGGUCUAACAACCACAUUAAGGUACAUUCCCCACCAUCGGAGUCACCAGAAAAGACCUGUGUGUCCUGGAGACAAGAUAGCAAAGGGUAAACAGAGGUAAAAGAGAAACUCAGCAGGACGUUUGUGCCUCUCAGUGGCAGAUCAGAAUGGCAGAUACCUACAGCCAAACCAGGAA